CUAUUCUAACAGACUCACUCCUAAUGAGCCCCUCCAGGAUAAAGGCUGGUCUCCUCACUGUCCUCUCCCUGGGCUGGUUCCUCGGUAUGUCUCCCUGUGGCAUCUCCUACAGCUGAAUGUCAAUACCGGCCUGGAAGGAUUCCUGUCUGUGGCUGAGAAAGGCUGUAUGCACUCUUUACCCCUCUGUUAUGGAAACCACAAAUCCUGUGGCUACAGCUGUGUUCUCGUGGCUUCCUGGUGGGGUAAGGCUCUGGUUGGAUGCUCCUCCAGGCCCUGCAGAGCUCCACCUGACCGCUGGGUCCACUUGUUCAUGCAAGCAGCCUCAGCCUUCCCCCAGAGGCAAGGCUCCGUCCUGUCCUGAAGAAACAGAUUCCUGGCUUCUGGUGCAGCUUCUGCGACUUGGCUUCAGUCUCUUUGUAGAUUAACUCAUUCAGGCAUCCUGGCUUCUGAGUUCAGGGCCUGACCACUGGGCAGGAGCCCUCCCCGUGAGCCGUCUCCGUGCCUGAGUCUCACCCUGGGAAUUCCCAAGCCUGUGGUCCAUCAGCCUGGUUACGGUGAAGUCCGGUCCAGGGUGAGAGACUGCAGUGUCUCCUCAGAUGGCCUCGCAGGGCACCUUGCCAGGCCCUUUUUCCUCUGGAGCCUGGCCUAGCUCACACAGGCCGCUCUGUGAGGCUGUGGGCAGGAGGCCUCUCUUGCCAGCAGUGUUCAGUUACCCCAGUGACAUUCAAUUGUUCCUAAGAGAAGAGGCCUGUUUUUGGCAACUCGCAGACCUGGAUUCCAGGAAGCUCUGCCUGACUCCUUUCCUGUUUGUUUCCAAUCAGCCAGUUGUCCAGUAUCACUUUCCACCAGAUUGCGUAAGUCCACCAGCUGCUCUCAUUCUCUCUCUCUUGUCUCCGUACCUCUCUGAGCUCACACCAGCCUGGGAGGAAGACGCAGGGCAUAUCAGCAGGAGUUUGGUGCUGCCCAAAUAGACCCAAAUCACAGCUUGGCCCCACCAAGUUUCCAGUUUCUAGGGAUGUGUGACUUACCCUAGAACGAGGAUCCCAGGGUCUCAGCCCAGAAAUGAGAUCCCUAGGGUGGCAUUUCAGCCCCGUGGGAGGGACCUAUGGCUGUGAAUACACUGGCAUGGCCCCUUUACCCUCUGCAGAGUAGUUUGGCAGGAGCUAGGAAAACUGAAAUUGGACAUGCAACUCUGGAAGCAACUGCUUGAGCUCAAAUCCUGGCUCUGUCACUUACCGGCUGUGUGACUUUGGGCAAAUUACUGAACCUCUCUGUGCUCAGUUUCUGCAUCUGUACUAUAUAGAUAACAACAAAACCUCCUUUAUUAGACUGUAAUAAGAUUUAAAUCAUGUAACACAUGGAAAGGGCUCAGUACAAUGCUUGGCACAUAAUAAAGCCUGAAUAAAUACAAGAGAUUAUUAUUAUAAUUAUCACAAUAACUAUUAUUAAUAUUCAUGAGAGAAAGGUCAUAUUUAUGCCUAAGGAGAUAGGAUAGUAAUAUUCAUUGCAGCAUGAUUUUUAAUGGUAACAGAUUGAAAACAGCCUGAAUAUUUCUCAGUAGGAAAUGGCUAAGCCAAUUACCGUACAUCCCCACUAUGGAAUUCUGUGCGGCCGUUGAAAAAAAUGGGGCAGGGCGCCUGGGUGGCUCAGUUGGUUAAGCGACUGCCUUCA
This is a long non-coding RNA of Mirounga angustirostris (Northern elephant seal), 1671 nucleotides long. RefSeq lists it as uncharacterized. NCBI's taxonomy places the organism in Eukaryota, Metazoa, Chordata, Mammalia, Carnivora, Phocidae. The transcript is spliced from 3 exons. The record is from RefSeq and is a predicted model, not a curated record.